This 366-nucleotide ribosomal RNA is filed under the name uncultured bacterium. Its description in RNAcentral is "bacterial SSU rRNA". It matches the Rfam family "Bacterial small subunit ribosomal RNA", at positions 29 to 424 of the family's 1533-position model. The record is from RNAcentral.
AGCGAACGCUGGCGGCAGGCCUAAUACAUGCAAGUCGAGCGCACCUUCGGGUGAGCGGCGGACGGGUGAGUAACGCGUGGGAAUGUGCCCUUUGGUACGGAACAACUGAGGGAAACUUCAGCUAAUACCGUAUGUGCCCUUCGGGGGAAAGGAUUUAUCGCCAUUGGAGCAGCCCGCGUUGGAUUAGGUAGUUGGUGAGGUAAAGGCUCACCAAGCCGACGAUCCAUAGCUGGCUGAGAGGAUGAUCAGCCACACUGGGACUGAGACACGGCCCAGACUCCUACGGGAGGCAGCAGUAGGGAAUCUUGCGCAAUGGGGCGAAAGCCUGACGCAGCCAUGCCGCGUGAAUGAUGAAGUCUUAGGAUU